This 3986-nucleotide long non-coding RNA is filed under the name Callithrix jacchus (white-tufted-ear marmoset). RNAcentral's name for it is "lncRNA (ENSCJAG00000082485.1)". The record is from RNAcentral. Lineage: Eukaryota; Metazoa; Chordata; Mammalia; Primates; Cebidae.
AUGUUUGCUUGUAUGAAGCUGUUCUGGUGGGCUUAUUUAAAAUUGCCAGGGCAUUCAGAAUGCAUGAGAUUUAAUGUUCUGUGUUCUCCAAAGGUAAAACAAAAUAAAACAAUAAAUUUAUUUGCCUUUCUUAUCUUCUCUUUCAGCACUCUUCCUCCUUUGGAGAAAAAAAAUCACUCUUUCCAAAUUGAAGCAGAUAGGAUGGAGAGUUUAAUAGGUGUCUUUCUAAUAUUAUGUAAGAUCCAUGAGUCAGGGACCAUAUCUUGCUCUGUCACAUCCCUAGAUUUUAAGAAGAGUGUGUUAUACAUAGAGAUGUUUCCUUAAAUAUCUUUUGAAUAAAUUUUGGUGGUAUGCAUUGUUACACUUAUAUCAUACAUAUGCUCUUAUCCCAUUUAAAUUAUUUUACCACAACUGUAAAAAGUAGAUCUACCUAAACAAUUCAAAUCAAUUUUUUUCCUGAACUUAUAAUUUUGCAUAUUGAAAAUAUUGCAGGUUGUUAUUAAACAAAUUUUUACUUUUUUUUUGACAGAUGACUAAACUGAGGUUUAGGAAGAAAAUUGAGGUAAUUAGCCCAAAGCCUUUCCUAAAGUAAUUGGCAGAAUCUGGAUUCAGUCCCUGGUCUAUAUAGAUUCUAAGUCCUAAUUCUGUUCCCUGUAGAAAACUUCAUCCCCAUUUGAUUAUUCUAAAUUUUUUUCUCUCUUAAAAUAUGUUCUUUAAAUGCAAAUUCAUUUUACUGAACAGUUUUCUUGAAUUGAGUUGUCCUUUAUGUAUCAUCAUUGUAGUACCCUUAUAUUAGAACUCUUACUAAUAGUGAAUGUAGAGAAGAAAGGAAGAGAUUAUGAAUAGAUAACCAUAUUUUAGAAACAUUCAUUGGUAAAGACAAUUCUCUGGAACUUUGCAGAACUUUGUAUUAACCCAAAAAAGGUGAAGAGAUGGUACCUAUAAUUUCUGUAAGUUAUAAUCAUCCUUCAGUCCUGUCCCAUGUGCAGCAAUUUAUAUGACCAAAAGAAAAAAGAAAGGUUUGAAGAAAUGAGACUUAGAUUUUAAAUGACAAAUAGACCUGAGAAUUUCUCCAACUGGGUGAAAUCAUAAACCAAUGACUGGGAAGGUUGAGAAAAGGCCUCUCUACUCUACAUAGCAGUGCUAGAACGACAUCCAAAAUGGUGAUAAAUUGUUCCUUCAUCAUAUUCUAACAGACACAGUUUCUGUGAAGAAGUAUAAAAUAUUUUUCCUCCUGUAAAACAACAGUGUCUAGUAAUUAACAGGCACCCUACACUGCAGUUUGAAUAAGGAAAAAAGUAAUAGGAGCAGGCUGAUGAAUCUUAGCAGACAUUCUUUGAUUCCAUGGCUAUGUAUAAUAUAAUAACACUUAAAAAGCUGUAAUAACAUUUAAAAAGCAGCAUCUUCUACUGCUUACUAGCAAUAUGACAGAACAUACAUAAGCAGAAAACAUAAACAUGAGUAUAACUGAUUUAGAAGAUAAAUUGUUCUACUAUAAGGACACAUGCACACCAAUGUCCAUUGCAGCACUGUUUACAAUAGCAAAGACCUGGAACCAAUCCUAAUGCCCAUCGAUGAUAGACAGGAUUGGGAAAAUGUGGCACAUAUACACCAUGGAAUAUUAUGCAGCCAUCAAAAUGAUGAGUUCAUGUCGUUUGUAGGGACAUGGAUGAAUCUGGAGAACAUCAUUCUCAGCAAACUGACACAAGAACAGAAAAUGAAAUGCCGCAUAUUUUCACUCAUAGGCGGGUGUUGAAAAAUGAGAACACAUGGACACAGGGAAGGGAGCACUACACACUGGGGUCUAUUGUGGGGAAUAGGGGAGGGACAGCGGGGGGGCGGGGAGCUAGGGAAGGAUAGCCUGAGGAGAAAUGCCAAAUGUGGGUGAAGGGGAGGAAGGCAGCAAAACACACUGCCAUGUGUGUACCUAUGCAACUGUCUUGCAUGUUCUGCACAUGUACCCCAAAACCUAAAAUGCAAUAAAAAUAAAUUAAAUAAAUAAAUAAAUAAAAUAACAAAAAAUUUCACAGAUAACAAAAAAAGAAGAUAAAACACAAGAACAAGGGCUUUCAAAGUCAAGUCAAUGAAAAUAUUGAUAACUGAAGUGAUUUUGCACACAAAAGUCAGAUAUUUUAUGGACCUUGGAGCCACAGUGUUUUGCUAUUUCAGGUAGGAAAUAAAUAGUAUUUCUAAGGACCCUCAGUCCUAAAAGUCUCUGCAUCUCUAUUACUUAAUGUAAUAAUGACACAUAACAGUUACCCAAUCAAUGCUUCUGGGAAAUCAAAUGAGUUUCAAAGUUCAUAAUGAUGGAGUCCCUUGUUUAGUGAGUUUAAUAGACUAUAGAAAUGAAUUUGAACAUCGGAUCUGUACAUCUAAGAUAUUUUAGCUGGUAGAGCUGAGUAUCACACAGUAAUAAUCUCUUAUGCAUAUGGUAGUCAUUUGGAUAAUGCAAAAAUAUCAGUGGCUCCCUCAAACCCCAGAGAUUCUGAUUCAAUUGUUCCAGAAUAGGACAUGGGCAUCAGUACUCUUAAAAGCUACCCAAGUUAUGGUGCUGUGCAUACUACUGGAAUUAAACCAAACUGCCUGCGCUACUAAUUUGAUGGUCAUAAGUGUCACCUGUAAGUAGUAAAUAGUCAUCAUUGGGCAUUUAUUUCCAGGAGAAACCUAAGGAGACUCAAUAUUUUAGUUAUACUGACUCUACAAGGAUGCAUAUAUAUUUUAAAGACUGACUUAGUAAAGAUGCAUCAUCUGAGUCUGCUAAUUUAUUUAGCAAAUACAUAUUGAGUGCCUAGUAUGUGUAGGCAGAGUCGUGGCCCUGGGAAUACACCAAAGAGAGAGGUAGUCAAAGUCCCUACUAUAAUGAAAGAGAGAAUAUUCCUCCUCAUACCAAAGUAUUCAAGUGUGAUUGAAGGGACUACUACCCUCCCCACCACCCUACUACCUCCCAAAAAAGAAAGCAGUAGACAUUGGGAAUAUAUAACAAGAACAGCCCUAGAUAUAUCAGCCCCUAGAUUAGGGGCUCAGAAUAGGUCUUGAGAGAAGACCUGAAAUUGGAAGGACCAGCGGAGAGGGCAUUUUUAGGCAAGGGUAUAUAUUAAAAAGACAAGAGCAGGUAGCAAAAGUUUUUGAGGUUGAAAAACUGUAGGUCAUUGUGCUUGAAGCAUAAAGAGUGAAGGGCACACGACUUUUAGUUGAAGCUGGUGAGGUAUGUUUAGUCAGAUCAUGAGAAUGGAUAGCUAUUCAUUCAAAAGAUUUAACUUCCUGAACAGUUGCCAAUUCUGUCCAGUUUUCCAAUUCACUCUAUUUAACUCUCUCUCUACCAGCCGUUACUAGCAUAAUCAAAGCUACCCUAUCUCUCUCCUAAUUUCUCCUGUUUAUUCUUUUACUGAAAUCAGCAUAAUCUUUUGAAAAUAGGUAAAAAUGUUAUGAUUUCAUGCUACUGCUUGAAAUCUUACAGUAAUUUCUUAUUGAUGAGGAAAAUAUUCAGAGCUUAUUAUGGACUUCUGUCAUCUGACUCUCUCUCUCUCUCUCUCUCUCUCUCUCUCUCUCUCUCUCUCUCAAAUCAUCAUGUCAUCACUUGCCACUCUUCCACCUUGCUACAGCCAUAUUGAAUUUCUUUCAGUUGUUCCAAUUUGCCAGACUUUCUCACACAGUUUUUCUCCUCUGCCUGCUUGUCAUGUGAAAUUUAACUUGCUUAUCUGAAAAUGUACUGUGUGUAGGUUUCUUUGUCCCAGCUAGACUAUAAACCAACAUGUAUCCUAAUAUAGACUGGUCCAUAAGAGAAAGGGGUAAUUGCACUAGAGAUCCUCUACUAAAAACUCCUGGGCUGGUCAAGUGAAUAAGCUUUUCUUCAAUAAUUUUUAAUGGAAAAUUAAAGUUUUUAAUAGCACAUGGCAUUUUUAUUCCACAUGUAACAAUAAUUUUUUUAAAAAUUAAAUGGCUUGUGAUAUGGUUGUGUCUAACAACUGAGGGUCUCUUUCUGAGCU